AAGGUAGCGAAAUUCCUUGUCAGGUAAGUUCUGACCCGCACGAAAGGCGUAAUGAUCCCUUCGCUGUCUCGGCUAUAGACUCGGUGAAAUUUUAGUACCAGUGAAGAUGCUGGUUACCCGCAACUAGACGGAAAGACCCCGUGGAGCUUUACUAUAACUUAAUAUUGAAUCUUGGUGUAACAUGUAGAGGAUAGGUGGGAGACUUUGAAGCGAUUACGCUAGUGGUCGUGGAGUCAUCCUUGGAAUACCACCCUUGUUACAUUGAGGUUCUAACCUAGACCCGUUAUCCGGGCCAGGGACAGUGUUUGGUGGGUAGUUUGACUGGGGCGGUCGCCUCCUAAAAUGUAACGGAGGCGCUCAAAGGUACCCUCAGUACGGUUGGAAAUCGUACGAAGAGCGCAAAGGCAUAAGGGUGCUUAACUGCGAGACUUACAAGUCGAACAGAUGCGAAAGCAGGACUUAGUGAUCCGGCGGUCCCGUGUGGAAGGGCCGUCGCUCAACGGAUAAAAGUUACCCCGGGGAUAACAGGCUGAUCUCCCCCAAGAGUUCACAUCGACGGGGAGGUUUGGCACCUCGAUGUCGGCUCAUCGCAUCCUGGAGCUGUAGUCGGUUCCAAGGGUUGGGCUGUUCGCCCAUUAAAGCGGUACGCGAGCUGGGUUCAGAACGUCGUGAGACAGUUUGGUCCCUAUCUGUUGUGGGCGUAGGAAAAUUGAGAAGAGCUGUUCCUAGUACGAGAGGACCGGAAUGGACGCACCCCUGGUGCUCCUGUUGUCACGCCAGUGGCACAGCAGGGUAGCUAUGUGCGGAAAGGAUAAUCGCUGAAGGCAUCUAAGCGAGAAGCCUCCUUCAAGAUGAGUUUUCCCAUUCUUCGGAAGUAAGAUCCCAUGUAGACCACAUGGUUGAUAGGUUGGGUGUGUACGCACGGCGACGUGUUUAGCUAACCAAUACUAAUAGAUCGAGGUCUUUCAAAG
This 971-nucleotide ribosomal RNA is filed under the name Heliconius melpomene thelxiopeia. RNAcentral's name for it is "bacterial LSU rRNA". It matches the Rfam family "Bacterial large subunit ribosomal RNA", at positions 1953 to 2925 of the family's 2925-position model. Lineage: Eukaryota; Metazoa; Arthropoda; Insecta; Lepidoptera; Nymphalidae. The record is from RNAcentral.